Long non-coding RNA from Toxotes jaculatrix (banded archerfish), 670 nucleotides. RefSeq lists it as uncharacterized. Lineage: Eukaryota; Metazoa; Chordata; Actinopteri; Toxotidae. The transcript has 4 exons. The record is from RefSeq and is a predicted model, not a curated record.
AUUACCGGAGCCGACCGCCGGCAGGACGCUGGUCCCGCCGGGGGGACUACCUGCGCGCACGCUGCACGCCGACGUACGAGAGCGAGUGCGCGCCGCGCUCCCGGGCUCGUUCACUGCGCUGUGUACCCGGACAGGUGGUGCAGGCGGUUUGUACCGUGAACAGCACCUGUGAGUGCGACUGUGAACAGGAAUACUACAACUACAAGAGGAAGCACCGCCACAGCGAGUGUCCGUCCUGAGGUGUAAAGAGUGGUUCUCUGAGCUACUGUAGCCCUGCUGUCGGCUCCGAGCAGUCUGACCUCUGACCUCUCUCGUCGGCCAGGUGUCGCUGGAUGGUUUUCAAACUCUGGAGACUGUCGUGUGUGAAAAUCCCAGGAGAUCAGCAGCUUCAGACCCAGAGCCAGCAGAGGGGAGGUUGUGCACAAUCCGACGCAGCCGCCUGAUGGACGUUUUCUGGUGGAGGAAGAAAGCCGGGAGGAUUUCUUUGAGGUAGAUGGCUCCAUCUGCGUGAAAGGAGGAAGACCAUCAGUGAGCAGAAUGAGCAGUGAUCUUACCUCUGGACGCGAGCCCAUCAUCUGCCAUGCACACGCUGUUGUGCCAGGUGGAGCCCCUCAGCAGCAGCUGCAGCCCUACGGCAUAGCAGCUCUGGUGCUCUGUGCAGUUGUGGUGA